CUGAAAAUCAGAAUCAA
RNAcentral lists this small RNA (17 nucleotides) under Arabidopsis thaliana (thale cress). RNAcentral describes it as "ATSL221760". Lineage: Eukaryota; Viridiplantae; Streptophyta; Magnoliopsida; Brassicales; Brassicaceae. The record is from RNAcentral.